RNAcentral lists this unclassified non-coding RNA (278 nucleotides) under Hevea brasiliensis (rubber tree). Lineage: Eukaryota; Viridiplantae; Streptophyta; Magnoliopsida; Malpighiales; Euphorbiaceae. The record is from RNAcentral.
AAUAAAUAAAUAAAUAAAAGUUGAGGAUUUCACAUUGAGAGAAUGUACAAGAAGAGCAAAGUAUGAUAAACUGAAUAAGAAAGGAAUAAUGAGACGAGUCAAAGCCAUCCUUGAGGUUAAUCACAUGGCCAGCAGGCAUGGUGGACCGAGGUGGGUAUCUAUGAGAGAAUCAACAUGAUGGCGGGUUAAUAUUUACAGAUAAAGACAUAAGAGGAAACACACAACAAAGAUGCCGUCAGGCGGGACGGAAUAGAAACUAAGCAAAUUAUAUUCACAAA